UGGGGAAUAUUGCGCAAUGGGCGAAAGCCUGACGCAGCGACGCCGCGUGAGGGAUGAAGGUUUUCGGAUCGUAAACCUCUGUCAGAAGGGAAGAAACCGCACUGUGCUAAUCAUCAGUGCCUUGACGGUACCUUCAAAGGAAGCACCGGCUAACUCCGUGCCAGCAGCCGCGGUAAUACGGAGGGUGCAAGCGUUAAUCGGAAUUACUGGGCGUAAAGCGCACGUAGGCUGCUUUGUAAGUCAGGGGUGAAAUCCCACGGCUCAACCGUGGAACUGCCUUUGAUACUGCUUAGCUUGAAUCCGGGAGAGGGUGGCGGAAUGCCAGGUGUAGGAGUGAAGUCCGUAGAUAUCUGGAGGAACAUCAGUGGCGAAGGCGGCAACCUGGACCGGUAUUGACGCAGAGGUGCGAAAGCGUGGGGAGCAAACAGG
RNAcentral lists this ribosomal RNA (429 nucleotides) under Fusobacteriota bacterium. RNAcentral describes it as "Fusobacteria bacterium partial 16S ribosomal RNA". It matches the Rfam family "Bacterial small subunit ribosomal RNA", at positions 355 to 776 of the family's 1533-position model. The record is from RNAcentral. Lineage: Bacteria; Fusobacteriati; Fusobacteriota.